UACGUAGGGGGCAAGCGUUAUCCGGAUUUACUGGGUGUAAAGGGAGCGUAGACGGCAGCGCAAGUCUGGAGUGAAAUGCCGGGGCCCAACCCCGGAACUGCUUUGGAAACUGUGCAGCUGGAGUGCAGGAGAGGUAAGCGGAAUUCCUAGUGUAGCGGUGAAAUGCGUAGAUAUUAGGAGGAACACCAGUGGCGAAGGCGGCUUACUGGACUGUAACUGACGCUGAGGCUCGAAAGCGUGGGUAGCGAACAGG
This 253-nucleotide ribosomal RNA is filed under the name uncultured bacterium. RNAcentral's name for it is "partial 16S ribosomal RNA". It matches the Rfam family "Bacterial small subunit ribosomal RNA", at positions 524 to 776 of the family's 1533-position model. The record is from RNAcentral.